Molecule: ribosomal RNA, 253 nt
Filed under: uncultured bacterium
Lineage: Bacteria
Description: partial 16S ribosomal RNA
Rfam family: Bacterial small subunit ribosomal RNA
Source: RNAcentral
UACGUAGGGUGCGAGCGUUAAUCGGAAUUACUGGGCGUAGAGCGUGCGCAGGCGGUUUUGUAAGCCCGAUGUGAAAUCCCCGGGCUUAACCUGGGAAUGGCAUUUGGGACUGCAAGGCUGGAGUGCGGCAGAGGAGACUGGAAUUCCUGGUGUAGCAGUGAAAUGCGUAGAUAUCAGGAGGAAUACCGAUGGCGAAGGCAGGUCUCUGGGCUGACACUGACGCUCAUGCACGAAAGCGUGGGGAGCAAACAGG